This 67-nucleotide ribosomal RNA is filed under the name Clostridium sp. OM07-10AC. RNAcentral's name for it is "partial 23S ribosomal RNA". Lineage: Bacteria; Bacillati; Bacillota; Clostridia; Eubacteriales; Clostridiaceae. RNAcentral also lists the same sequence under 1 other name. The record is from RNAcentral.
GGGCAGAGGUGGAAGUACGGUAACGUAUGCAGCUGACUGUCACUAAUAGGUCGAAGGCUUAUCCAAA